AACAACGAACAGUAAGAAGUCAGCAGAGGUCGUAGUACCGCCAAGGCUUGGCAGGCGGAAAGGA
Molecule: non-coding RNA, 64 nt
Filed under: Anaerobiospirillum succiniciproducens
Lineage: Bacteria; Pseudomonadati; Pseudomonadota; Gammaproteobacteria; Aeromonadales; Succinivibrionaceae
Source: RNAcentral